Molecule: long non-coding RNA, 470 nt
Organism: Zalophus californianus (California sea lion)
Lineage: Eukaryota; Metazoa; Chordata; Mammalia; Carnivora; Otariidae
Exons: 3
Source: RefSeq, a predicted model, not a curated record
ACAAGUGUUUGCAUAGAACGGGAUCCUGUCUUAACCACAGCAGCUGAUUUUCAAAUGGUGAAAUUCCUGGCACCACUGGAGUUGCUGAUCUCAAACCGGAGAAAGUUAGAAAUAGAUUCUUGCUUUUCUUUGCCUCCAACUUUUACAUGUGGUGUGAACUGAGUUUGAACGAGAAAAGUGACAGGAAAAAAAAAAACAAAAAACAAAAAACAACUGAGCGUCAGGAGCCCUGCGUCUGGUCUUAGUUCUGCCCCCCGGAUAACUGACUGCUUUUGCACAAUUCAGACUUCACGCUUCUUAUUUCCAUGCACAAAACAUCAGAACAAAUGAUUUCUUGUUUGGAUCCUUCAGAUAUGCAAGAUAUAAGAAGUGCGACAAGAUUUCCAAAGAUGACGCUGUACCCUGUACCUUCUGCUUUUUGACUGAUGCAGACACAGUCUAUGGUAAGAUUCAGCAUAAUACCCAAGGAG